GAACUAUAAACUGACUACACAGCUCCCUGGCCCGGGAAGGCUAUGAAACAGGCAACAUGGACAAUUUAAAGGUGUACAACAUCCGAGGUUCCAUUUCACCCUCAGGCAGCACGGAGUGGACAAGAGAUGGGGUCUCACUUUGUCACCCAGGCUGGGCUCAAACUCUUGGCUUCAAGCGAUCUUCUCGCCUUGGUCUCCCAAAGUGCUGGGAUUACAGGCUUGAACUACUGUACUCGACUGACUUUUCCUAUUUCUAAUGUCAGCAUGAAGAACACAAGAAGUCAGCUUCAAAGAUAAUGAAAAAUAAAACCAAGAUUCUCUUCUUUGCUGAUGAAGUCAGGAAGGUGGAAAGGGCAAAGCAAGAACUCUCACUCUUACCCUAUGAGUAAUUUCAAUAGAAAUCAAAGGCGUUAACUUCUCGGGUCCUCAAUUUUUUCUUCUCUAAAAAGAAAGAAUUGUUUAAUAAAACUCAUCCAAGGCUACAAUCAUCAAUGGCAGCUAAAACCACUUAGUGAAAGAAUUUUUUUUUUAAUAAAAAAAGGACAUUGGAUGAUGUCUCAACUCCCAAGCACUUGAUGUUUGACUUGGGAGUGGUGCCCUCAGUCACACCUAAAACUAUCUGCGGCAGACCCUGUUCUUUUUGGCUGACACAAAUGCCAUUCCCAACCUCCUUCUCCUCCUGUCUUGUCUCAAUCGUAGAGUCUAGAAGAGCAAACAUUCACUUUGCAGCCUCCCUUGUACCAAGGAGUGGCCAUGAGACAAUUCUGCCCAAUGAAUCAGAAGAGGAAUUGUGUUGAGGAUUUCUGGAAAGACUACUUCUUUUCCCAAGAAAAAGUGACAGACGCAGUAGGGGCUGAGCAACUUCCGUGCCUCUUCCAGCCUUACGGAUGUGCUGUUGGUAGCUGUGACUGCCUUGCUACUACGAGGAAAAGGAAGGCCAAGAGAAUAGCAGAGACACUCGCUCUGAUGCCUUUGAGCCAAUGAAUCAAUGCCAGAAGCAGCUGACCUCCAGAGUUCUUGUUACAGGAUUAAAAUAAAUCUCUACUUAUUUGCCAUUGUCACUUUGGUUUGUUUGUUUGUUUACUUGUUGCCAAGCACAUUCCUAACUGAUACACUGUUCACCAG
Molecule: long non-coding RNA, 1125 nt
Filed under: Homo sapiens (human)
Lineage: Eukaryota; Metazoa; Chordata; Mammalia; Primates; Hominidae
Description: non-protein coding lnc-UBE2N-3:6
Source: RNAcentral